UAAAGCGCGCGUAGGUGGUUUGUUAAGUUGGAUGUGAAAUCCCCGGGCUCAACCUGGGAACUGCAUCCAAAACUGGCAAGCUAGAGUAUGGUAGAGGGUGGUGGAAUUUCCUGUGUAGCGGUGAAAUGCGUAGAUAUAGGAAGGAACACCAGUGGCGAAGGCGACCACCUGGACUGAUACUGACACUGAGGUGCGAAAGCGUGGGGAGCAAACAGGAUUAGAUCCCUAGU
Molecule: ribosomal RNA, 230 nt
Filed under: uncultured bacterium
Lineage: Bacteria
Description: partial 16S ribosomal RNA
Rfam family: Bacterial small subunit ribosomal RNA
Source: RNAcentral